GAAAUGCGAAAAGUAGUGUGAAUUGCAGAAUUCAGUGAAUCAUCGAAUCUUUGAACGCACAUUGCGCCUUGCAGUAUUCUGCGAGGCAUGCCUGUCCAAGCGUCAUGGGAAAAGCGUUCAAGCCCCUGGCUUGGUCAUGGAGGAUGAGUACACCUUCCAAGGGUUUUCACCUCUGAAAUUGAAUGGCGGAUUACCGUGAGCUGCCUUGAGCGUCGUAUGUGCCUGACACUCUCGCCUUGGUGGCCGGUGAAGUCCUGCCCACCAACCCCCACAACAUCUUGGGUUGACUUUGGAUCAGGUAGGGAUACCCGCUGAACUUAA
RNAcentral lists this unclassified non-coding RNA (321 nucleotides) under uncultured Pyronemataceae. RNAcentral's name for it is "sequence contains ITS1". The stretch from base 1 to 105 matches the Rfam family "5.8S ribosomal RNA", at positions 50 to 154 of the family's 154-position model. Lineage: Eukaryota; Fungi; Ascomycota; Pezizomycetes; Pezizales; Pyronemataceae. The record is from RNAcentral.